This is a long non-coding RNA of Chelonia mydas (Green sea turtle), 1630 nucleotides long. RefSeq lists it as uncharacterized. Lineage: Eukaryota; Metazoa; Chordata; Testudines; Cheloniidae. The transcript is spliced from 2 exons. The record is from RefSeq and is a predicted model, not a curated record.
GCCACUCCAGUCAGCGUGACAAUUUAUAAAAAAGUGAUCUCUGCCUACCACAGGUCACCACAAGCAGAUGACUGAGGCCUCAAACACAAAAUUUCUAGCCAAUUCUGGUCAGUACAUGGUCAAAGAAUUCCAUGCUUGGUUCUCCUUCACCUUUAUUAAUCUAGUUCUUCAGAAAGCAGGAUUUGAGAGGAAAGUAUUCCAAUAAAUAGUCUCCUAGUGAACGAUGAUGCCAGUUCCAGACUACAUUUGCACUAUGGAAUUCCAAGGAUUUACAAAACGAUUUUUUUAAACUGCAACCACUAGAAAGAUGAGAAAAGUACAAUAUCUAUCUGUUUGGCUAUUAAAGCGUUUAAAUAAAGAACGAGUGAAAUGCAUAUAAUUCCCAAGCAGAGACAACCACUUUCAGCAAAAUCUCUUAAACAGCAAUAUCACAGUGAGUGGCCUUUGCUCCCAUUCAGAGUGACUCCCAAUUAAAAAGAUACUACUUUAAUAGCAUUAAAGAUUAUUAUGAAGGAUUAGUCAGCCACGUAAGAGUUAAAAAAGAGAAGAGAAACCAAAGGAAACUGAUGAAUGGUGUUGAAUGUAACAGAGAGAUGAAAGAGAGAAUUACAGUAGAACCUCAGAGUUAUGAACUGACUAGUCAACCACACACCCCAUUUGGAACUUGAAGUACAAAAAUCAGGCAGCAACACACAUGACCCACCCCCCCCACCUCCAAAAAAAGCAAAUACAGCAGGGUAUAUUUUUUUAAAAUCGGAUUUUUUGAUAAAAUGCUUUGAGAAAAAAAGCAAUCUAAAGAUAGUUUUAAUUAAGAUACAUUAUAGCUCAAAGAUAUCUCAUCAUGGAAUAGGGAUUAUAAAUUCUAAUUCUAUAGUAUGAGACAAUAUAUUCAUGUAAUGUUUAAGAAAAUUUUUGUUAAUGAGUUUCAAUAGUUCAUGGAUUAGGGACCCAAUCUUAUGGGGUUCCAGGGGCUUCUGUAUAGAAAGAUUAACCUAAAUAAUCUAUCUACCCAAUGGGACUCAGUGCUAAGUCUAGAAGAUACCAUCAGAGAUUCUUAGUUUUGCAGUUCUCAGACUGUGGAUUUAUGUCUCCAGAGAUAACAUGCUUGUUAACAGCAAAAAAGUUUUUAAAUAAAUAAAAAAAUAAAAAUAAAUAAAGGUGAGAAACAACAGAACUCAACUAUUGUCCCUCUGCAAAUUUGUGUACACAAAGUCAAUCCCUUACCUCUCUCUAAAAGUGCAAAAUUUCAAAAAGUUCAAUGACUAGAUGAUUGCCGGGGGUGGACUAGAUCUGGACAAGGAGAAGAAGUCUGGAGAUAAAUGUGAGAAGCGAGGGACAUAUGCUUGUUUUGUUAAAAUAUUAUGUGUUUGCUGUUGAAGAAAAAAAUCCAGAAUACUUAACAUUGUUGUUUUAGUUAAAUGUCUGUCUGGUGAUGUUCUCCUCCUAAUACGGCGCGUGGCAAGAAAAAUCCUCCAAAUAUUAAUGAUUAACCUAUUGAAUUGGAGAUCUUUAUAAAGUCAUUGGGUGGUGAACGGAUUGCUUCAAUUACCUUUGGUAAAUGAAAUAACCAAUCAUUCAUUUUCUGAUAUAGCUGUAAAACUAAUCUGAAAGGUUUUCAAAAUAAAUCACU